Molecule: small nucleolar RNA, 76 nt
Filed under: Mesocricetus auratus (golden hamster)
Lineage: Eukaryota; Metazoa; Chordata; Mammalia; Rodentia; Cricetidae
Description: Small nucleolar RNA U3
Rfam family: Small nucleolar RNA U3
About the family: Small nucleolar RNAs (snoRNAs) are involved in the processing and modification of rRNA in the nucleolus. There are two main classes of snoRNAs: the box C/D class, and the box H/ACA class.
Source: Rfam by way of RNAcentral
AAGACUAUACUUUCAGGGAUCAUUUCUAUAGUUUGUUACAAUAGGAAGUAAGAGAAAUCAAAGUAAAACAGAUUGA